RNAcentral lists this ribosomal RNA (201 nucleotides) under uncultured bacterium. RNAcentral describes it as "partial 16S ribosomal RNA". It matches the Rfam family "Bacterial small subunit ribosomal RNA", at positions 328 to 538 of the family's 1533-position model. The record is from RNAcentral.
ACGCUCGACACCUACGGGAGCAGCAGUCGGGAAUAUUGCGCAAUGGAGGAAACUCUGACGCAGUGACGCCGCGUGCAGGAAGAAGGUUUUCGGAUUGUAAACUGCUUUAGACAGGGAAGAAAGAAAUGACAGUACCUGUAGAAUAAGCUCCGGCUAACUACGUACACGCAGCCGCGGUAAUCUGAGCGGGCGUGGCAAGGC